This 3826-nucleotide long non-coding RNA is filed under the name Homo sapiens (human). RNAcentral describes it as "HSALNT0156426". Lineage: Eukaryota; Metazoa; Chordata; Mammalia; Primates; Hominidae. The record is from RNAcentral.
GGACAGCCUGGGUGGGAAGUUGCACUUGGCCCAGCUCCCAGAGAGGUGGGUGGCUUUAGGUCAUGCGUUCAUCUGAGACCUAGUACAACCUAGGACCCUGGGGCCCUGUGCCGGUCACUGUGCCUCUUCCAGCCUCGGUAUCCUCUGGAAGGUGAGAAUGAAAAACACCCAAUGACACUCAGACUGGACAGGAGCAGGUACGCAGACAGCAGAUGGCCAGGUGCACAGAGGUGUCGCCUGACUUCCUCACCGGGACGGCAUGGGGUGGGGCUCCUCCUGCAGGCGAAGCCCGCCCGGGACUGGGCUCUGGUGGGUUCUCUCUCUUUUCCUUCAACCAAAGACCUGGCUGGACACCCCCCAUCUGACACUCCGGGGGCUUUCAAGGGGCUUCAGGCAACCCACAUGCAUUCUGGGCAUCCCAUUUAGGGGGAUGAAGAAGGAAUUGGAUAAGGCAAGGGUGGGGCUGGCCCGUCUCCUCUGCUGGUGCAUCAGCCCCUCCUAGGGACACCACUGUCCUUGACCCCUCUGCAGGCCAAUCAGCCCUCCUUGGGAAGCCGCCGUCCUUGCCCGCUCUGCUCCUGGGGUCCCACCCAAGCUUCAAUCCUCGCUGUGUGGUCUUCCCUCCGUGAGCCUUCAUUUCCUCAUCGCAGCCCUGGGAGGCAGAUGCUGCCAUGAAACCACGGUGCCCUCAAGAAACCUGGCCAUGAGGGGGCUUCCUGCCUGCCCACGGCCCUGCAGGUCAUGGACCCUUCCAUGGAGGUCUGACAGCCCUGGCCCAGGCAGAACACGGCCUCAGCGUGCUCCUGUGGACCCUGGUGGGAGCCCCAGGAGCCGCGGUGAUGGGGUGAGUCGGGCCAACUUCUUGGCUGUUGCCUGUGGCCCAUCAACGCCUGCGGGUGGACGCCCUUCAGGGCCAGAGCAGGCGCCUCAGCGUGCAGACACUGUCUGGCUCUCUUUCUGCGUUUUCUUCAUCUGGAUUCUGUUGGGACAACAAUCAAGGCUGUCUCGUUCUGUCUGUGGAAUGGGCCUCACCUAGCAAGAAGCCCCAGGGGCCCCCAGGGCUGGGUUACCGGCAGAGAGAAGCCACUGCGACCUUUGCCCUCCCUAAAUCCAGAGGUAUUUGGCCCAGAAGCUCCUCCCUGAGUCCUUGCUGGAGCAUUUGUCUUCAAACGGAGGAGGAGAACCAAUGGAGUCUCAUUCUGCGGCUCACUGCAACCUCCACCUCCCGGAUUCAAGCGAUUCUCCUGCCUCAGCCUCCCAAGUAGCUGAGAUUACAGGCAUGCGCCACCAUGCCUGGCAAAUUUUUGUGUUUUUAGUAGAGACGGGGUUUCACCAUGUUGGCCAGGAUGGUCUCAAUCUCUUGACCUCGUGAUCCGCCCGCUUUGGCCUCCCAAAGUGCUGGGAUUACAGGUGUGAGCCACUGUACCCGGCCUCAGGUAGUAUCUUUAUAGCAGUGUGAGAAUGGGUUAAUACAAUGUGCAGGGCCUUAAGCUGUGGCUGACUGGUAGAAGCAGCUCAAUAAAUGGUGGAUGGAUGGAUGGAUGGAUGGAUGGAUGGAUGGAUUCACUAAUUACUGACUCACUUGUUGGGUGUGGUAGAGCAUCAGAUCACAGACCUUAGAGCCUGGCUUCCAAGGUUUGAAUCUGUGAUAUACUGACUCCAUAAUAUUAAGUGAUUUAUGUAAUGUUCCCAUGCCUCAGUUUCCUCAUCUGUAAAAUAAAGUCCAAAGAUUUCUGUUCUUUUUCAAUAUGGCCAGUUAAGAACCUGCACAAACCCUCCCACUAACAGCAGCUAGAAAUUCUGGGUAGAAUGAAAAAUGCCUGUCUUGUUGAUUAUUGUCUUGAGCUGACUAGGAAGUGUGGAGUACUCAGGCCAGGAUAGAGAAAAGAUGGGACCCAGAGAGGAAGGUGGACACUGAAUCUGGCUUUCCUGGGAGGUAUGGAAAGAUGUGGCCACUGCUCCAUCUCUGAAACAAAAAGCUGAACUUAUUGCUUGUUCAGCAUGGGAGAGCUAUAAUUGUAAGGCUCAGACUGCCCGAACAAAGCAAACUGCUGGCCUUCAUAGUGUUUCAGGAAGAGUGGAGUUCAGGCAUAGGAGGCUUUCAGAAGUGGGAGAGCUUGGGGAAUGAUUGAUCUCUAACUGAGGGAGACUAGUUAUUGGAGAGGGGCUACUGCUGGUUGGUUGACCAAAGAAAGUGGUCACUACUAGAUUGAGACGGACUUAAUGCUGGUGUUUGCUUGUUGCUGUGGCCAGACAACAGCCUAUCUUUUCAUUUUGAAGUUGGAGAAUUGAAAUUUUUUAUUCUCAUAGGCAAACCUGAGCAUCAUUUUUUGACUACUUUUGUGGCUAGAGGUCAGAAGACAAAGCACAGAGCCUGGCCAUGCAGGAGAGUCUAGUGGAAGACCAUUCCUUCAAUGUGGGACUCCAUGGGCUACACCUCACUGUCAUGGGAAACUAGAAAAUCUAUUUCCCCUUUGGAUACUACAUCGGCACUGCCUGUAGCAAACUUUGGUGCCAAGUGGAGCAGGAAAAGCAUUCUCUAAGAAUUAAUAACUAUAACCUGAACUACGUGUGUGUGUAUGUAGCCUGAAUCCACAUUUCCUCAACUAUCCAAAACAAGGGAUUUUAGUUUAAAGGAGUGUCAGAUUGGAAGUGCCUCAAUUGUUUGACAGAAGUAAAUACAAUUACUUUCUAAAGGACUCUGCCUUUACCUCAGGCCUCAGAAAAUUUCCAUAAAGUUCCACAGCAAAUGAGCAGUUCAGAGUAAAAAAAAAAUCACUAAAUAUACAAGGAAACAAGACACCAUGAGGGAAAGUCAACAGAAACAACAGGCAGUAGAAUCAGAUCAGCCAAACAUUUAGAUACUAAAAAUAGCAGGACUGGAAAAUAAAUGUGUUUUAUGGAAGAAAUAAGAGGCUUGGAUGUAUUAAUGAAGAACAAGCAUACUUGAAAAAGAACCAAACAUACUCUUAGAAAUAAAAACAUGACAAUCAAAAUGAAAAACUCAAAAGAUAGCUUAACCACAGUUUAGACAUGACCGAAGAAGGAAUUGAUGAACUGAAGGAUAAGGCAAAAGACAUUAGGAGAGUUGCACUCCUGAAAGAUAAAGAACUGGGAAAUAUAAAGAACAUGAGGACUUGCGUGCAAAUGUAAGCAUAUUGCUAAUUGGAUUUCCAGAAAAUGAAGAGAGAUAGAAUAGGAGUAGGGGCAAUAUUUGAAGAGGAUUAUGGCUGAAACUAUUUCAGAUAUAAUGAAAGAUAGCAACCCACAAAUUUAAGAAGCCCAGUGACUCUCAAGCAAGCCAAAGAAAAAGGAUUCCACACGAGUCACAUAAGAAUAAAAAUACAGAACAUUGAAGACCAAGAGAAGUCUUAUAAAAGAGCCCAAGAGAAAAUAUAGAUUAUCUUCAAAGAUAGUUACGCUGAGAACUUACUAUUCAGGAGCAACAAUGGGAAUUAGGAAACAGAGAAAUGAUGUCUUCAAAAUGCUCAGAGCAAAUGAUUACCAACCUAGAAUUCAAUAUCCGGUGAAAAAAAUUAAAGAUGCAAAUGAUUGUCAACCUAGAAUUCAAUAUCCAGUGGAAAAAAUAAAGACACAAAGGAUUACCCACCUAUACAAUUCAAUAUUCAGUGAAAAAAAUAAAGACAAUCAUAGGCAAAUAAAAAUCAAGAAGGUGUCCCACAAACAACCCUUGCUUAAGGAAAUUUUUUGUAAAAUUAAUUUUAUUUUUUAAGACAGGGUCUCACUCUGUUGCCCAGAUGGGAGUGCAGUGGUGCAAUCAUGGCUCACUGCAGCCUUGAACUCUCAGACUUGGGUGAUCCUCCCA